This is an RNA transcript of Oryza brachyantha (malo sina), 1406 nucleotides long. It is a transcript of the gene named U4/U6.U5 small nuclear ribonucleoprotein 27 kDa protein, with no coding region annotated. The transcript is spliced from 4 exons. The record is from RefSeq and is a predicted model, not a curated record. Lineage: Eukaryota; Viridiplantae; Streptophyta; Magnoliopsida; Poales; Poaceae.
GCGUUAUCACGAAUUCAACAUAUACUAGCAGAAGAAAAGGUAAGAAUCUCUCCCUUUCUAUUUGUACUCUGGAACCAAAGCAGCGAACCCUAGCUCCUGUCCUGUCCUGUCCUGUCCUGUCCUCUCCUCUUCCUCCUCACCGGCGCCGCACAAAUGUCCGACCGCCGUCGCGACCGGGAGGAGCCUCGCGAGGGCGAUCGCGACCGGGACAGGGACAGGGAUAGGGACCGGGGCCGAGACGGAGAGCGCGACCGUGAGAGGGCUCGGGAGCUCGACCGCCCCCGCGACCGUGGCCGCGAGCGGGAGAAGCAGAGGGAUCGAGACCGUGAGCGCGACCGCGACCGGGACCGGGACCGGGACCGCCGCCGGGACCGUGAACGCAAGCGCUCGCGCUCUCCUUCAGCCGACCGCUCCCACCGCCGUCAAUCCCACUCCCACUCUCACCGCGGCCUCUCACCUCAAUCCCCGGACGCUGGCCGCCACAAGCGCCGCCGCGACGGGUCCCCUGCCACGGACCAAAAGGACAACAAGAAGCCAGAAGCACCCGUGGUGACUGAGAGCAUCGAGGAAGGGGCCGUGGCGGGCGACGGGGCAGUGGACAUGGAGGAACUUGAGAUGAUGAGGAUGAUGGGGAUCCCCGCUGGGUUCGACUCCACCAAGGGGAAGCACGUUCCGGACGCCGACAUCAGCGGGGUACGCGUCGUCACCAAGCGGCAGCCACGGCAGUACAUGAACCGUCGUGGUGGGUUCAAUCGGCCCCUGCCACCAGAGCGCAACCGCUGAGGAAAGAAAAUGGAUGAUGGAGAUAUUCUUAUUUUGUGUUGCAGUGGACUGCUGGGCCAUGUUGCUGUCUUGCUGGGCAUAGUAGGAAAUUAACUGCUACUGAGCAUGAAAAAGGAAUUUGGUGGCACAUUUUGAACUAUGGCUUUACAAAUUUUCAUGCUGUUUCUUUCUGCGUAUAAUUUGUAUUUUUUCAGGUAAGGGGCCACAUGGAUUACAAAUUGAAACAGCAUUUACUUUUAGUUGUAUAUUAUGAAAUGAAUUUGUUGGUGGUUGCAAAUUUGGCUGCAGCAUAAUUCUGAACGCCCCGCUGAGAACUACCCUGAAUUCAGAAUUAUAACUCUGAACAUGUUUUAACUUAAUUUAGAUGUAGCUUGGGUAACUAUGGAGUCUUUACCCGCAACUGGUCUGGUUUGGUAGUUUGAUCACCCCAGGAACUUUACUAUCGUUGUAUAUUGGCCGUUGGCAAGGUAAUUCAUUAUAACCAUGUGUAACCUGAUGCUGGCGUUUUUUUUUUUUUUGAACAAGUGAUGCUGGCGUUUAAAUUUCAAUGCUUUUCAGCACACGCCUAAGCCUCGUUGUCUAGGAUUGAAGCCCACUUGUUCAGAACUUUAGAGAUUUUCUUC